GAAGGUUUGUGAAGUGUUGCUUCACCACAUUCAGCACUCCAUGAAUCUGAAUCACUGGAAACCAAAAAACCAAACAUAUACCAAACUACUUCUGUAUUUCCAGCAUUUCCCCCAAAUCAAUGAAGCCCUAAUUCUACCUACAUUUAACCUAAUUCGUUGGUUCAAUCGCCAGAAACCAACGAUGUUCAAAAUUUCAAAAUCAAGCACAUGCCAAACUACCUGAACAUCUAAUUCUACUAAAUCACAAUGCAAUUUCUCAUGAUUCACAGAAUUCAGAAACGAAAUCACCAGAAAAAGAACUCACAUUCCUCUUCUUCAAUUUGGAAUCGCCUUCGGUGGAAGAGCUGUUGUGCCAUUUCAACAAAUCAAGGCUUCCCUUCGCGUUCAAAUUCGCGGGCUGAAACUCGUGCUUCGCCGGAACGCCCCCCGGAGACGGAUCCCCCAACCUGCCAGGCGUGGUUGAGCACCGUCCUUCCCUUCUCCGGCAGCACCACGGUGGCGAAUAGCGUGAUCGCUGUUGGUAAAGGAUUGCUUCGUGCACGUGGCGGAUUGUGAUUGGGAGGGCGGGAUUAGGAGGAGGAGGAGGAGAAGCGCGGUGAGGAGUAGGGCUGGGAAUUCGGUCAUCGGUUAGUCGGUUAACCGAGAACCAAACCGAAAAAAUCGGUUCUCGGUUAACCGAUAACCGAUUUUUUUGGUUAUCGGUUCGGUGUCGGUUCCCAUAUGAAGGUCAUGAUCGGUUCUCGGUUAUAACCGAGAACCGAUCGGUUAUAACCGUAAAGAACCGAUUGGGCUUAGUUGAUGUAAUUUAAUUAUUUAAAACUGGCCCAAAGACUCAUUUUACUAUUGAGCCCAAGUUACAUGAAGCCCAAUAUAUCCCCAAACAAUUACUAACCCUUCUCCCACAGUCCGUCAGUCCCACUCCCAGAGCUCCCUCCCACACCCUACCCCGCUCCUCCAACACGCCACACCCGCCGCCGACUCCCACCCGCCGGAGACUCGUUCCGCAGCGACUCCUUCCGCCGGCGACUCCUUCCGCAACGACUCCUUCCGCCGGAGACUCCUUCUUUAACUUAGAUGGAAACUUCAGAAUCUCUCACCCAAGACGUAGGUAGCAACCGGCCAGACCUCGAUAUUCUUGAAGAUAUUGAAAUUGAAGAACUAGGGCUAGGGGAAAAGGGAGAAGGAAAGGGAAUGGCGUCAAAAAAUGGGAAUUCAUCAAAAAAGCGUAAAAAUGUAGAGAGGUCGGAUGUGUGGGCUGAAUUUGAUAAAGUGAUUGUUGAUUCGGUUAAAAAAGGAAAAUGUAAACGGUGUGAUUCGUUGAUAGCUGCUGAUCCGAAGUUAAAUGGCACAUCCGCGAUGUGGAAGCAUCAUGCUUCAUGUUUGAAGAAACAUGAAGCGGGAAAGAAUCAAACAACACUCAGCCAAGAUGACUCGGGAGCUUGUGAUUCAAACAACACUCACUGAGGAGGGAAGGCGGAGGUGGCGAUGCCAUUUUAGUGAAGCUGAAACACAGAGAGAGAUUUGGAGAGAAAAGAUUGUGAUUUUAUUGUUUCUUACAAUUAGUUAGUGACGGAUUAGUGACGGAUUAGUGACGGAUUUAUGACGGAUUAGUGGCGGAUUAGUGACAGAUCAUUUUCUCCCCAUUAGUGACGGAUUUGUGGCGGAUUUGUGACCUGGUAAUUAAACCGUCAAAAAUUUGACGGUUCAGUCCAAAAUGGACCAUAUGUGACCCGCUUUUAUUUGUGAGGGACCAAAUAAUUCAAAAGAUAAUGUUUUGGACCAAAAUCAAAAAAUCGUUAUAUGUUAAGGACCAAAAAGGAACUUUAGUCUAGAUAUAUGUGAUGGAAAUACGAAAGAGAAGAAAAAGAUAAGAAGUAAAUG
This is a long non-coding RNA of Salvia splendens (bonfire salvia), 1881 nucleotides long. RefSeq lists it as uncharacterized. The transcript has 2 exons. The record is from RefSeq and is a predicted model, not a curated record. NCBI's taxonomy places the organism in Eukaryota, Viridiplantae, Streptophyta, Magnoliopsida, Lamiales, Lamiaceae.